CAGCGGAGGGACAUUACCGAGUUUACAACUCCCAAACCCAAUGUGAACGUUACCAAACUGUUGCCUCGGCGGGGUCACGCCCCGGGUGCGUAAAAGCCCCGGAACCAGGCGCCCGCCGGAGGAACCAACCAAACUCUUUCUGUAGUCCCCUCGCGGACGUAUUUCUUACAGCUCUGAGCAAAAAUUCAAAAUGAAUCAAAACUUUCAACAACGGAUCUCUUGGUUCUGGCAUCGAUGAAGAACGCAGCGAAAUGCGAUAAGUAAUGUGAAUUGCAGAAUUCAGUGAAUCAUCGAAUCUUUGAACGCACAUUGCGCCCGCCAGUAUUCUGGCGGGCAUGCCUGUCCGAGCGUCAUUUCAACCCUCGAACCCCUCCGGGGGAUCGGCGUUGGGGAUCGGGACCCCUCACCGGGUGCCGGCCCUGAAAUACAGUGGCGGUCUCGCCGCAGCCUCUCCUGCGCAGUAGUUUGCACAACUCGCACCGGGAGCGCGGCGCGUCCACGUCCGUAAAACACCCAACUUCUGAAAUGUUGACCUCGGAUCAGGUAGGAAUACCCGCUGAACUUAAGCAUAUCA
This 574-nucleotide ribosomal RNA is filed under the name Trichoderma pubescens. RNAcentral's name for it is "eukaryotic LSU rRNA". The stretch from base 200 to 353 matches the Rfam family "5.8S ribosomal RNA". Lineage: Eukaryota; Fungi; Ascomycota; Sordariomycetes; Hypocreales; Hypocreaceae. The record is from RNAcentral.